This 253-nucleotide ribosomal RNA is filed under the name uncultured bacterium. Its description in RNAcentral is "partial 16S ribosomal RNA". It matches the Rfam family "Bacterial small subunit ribosomal RNA", at positions 524 to 776 of the family's 1533-position model. The record is from RNAcentral.
UACGGAGGGUGCAAGCGUUAUCCGGAUUCACUGGGUUUAAAGGGUGCGUAGGCGGGCUGGUAAGUCAGUGGUGAAAUCUCCAGGCUUAACUUGGAAACUGCCAUUGAUACUAUCAGUCUUGAAUACCGUGGAGGUCAGCGGAAUAUGUCAUGUAGCGGUGAAAUGCUUAGAUAUGACAUAGAACACCAAUUGCGAAGGCAGCUGGCUACACGAAUAUUGACACUGAUGCACGAAAGCGUGGGGAUCAAACAGG